AAUUGAUUGGUAUGCUCAUGACCAUUAGUUUUAUAGUUGAAUAUCUUUGGCCCGUAGUGCAAAGAUAGACAACUGAUUGGUAUGAUCAUUGUUAUUACAUUUGAAUAUCUUCAGCCUUUGGGGUAAGGAUAUUUAGUAAACGUUCUAUUAAGCCUUUGUGACAAGAAGGAACUGUUAAUUCACAUUAUUAUAAAUAUUAAUUAUGAAUUUAACUAACAUCUUUGGUGGUUCAGGUGAAGAUAAGUGAUGAAAGUUCUAUUUGUCUUGAGUAUAAUAAAGAACUGUUGAUGAGUAUUACAGGAAUAAAAUAUCAAUGAUG
This 319-nucleotide long non-coding RNA is filed under the name Panax ginseng (ginseng). Its description in RNAcentral is "long non-coding RNA (PGIN_LNC006728)". The record is from RNAcentral. Lineage: Eukaryota; Viridiplantae; Streptophyta; Magnoliopsida; Apiales; Araliaceae.